Small nuclear RNA from Otolemur garnettii (small-eared galago), 66 nucleotides. Its record names the gene U7. It matches the Rfam family "U7 small nuclear RNA". Rfam says of the family: Animal histone pre-mRNAs are spliced by a different mechanism than nuclear pre-mRNAs and self-splicing introns. This processing involves the U7 snRNP, which contains only one RNA species: U7. The record is from Ensembl. NCBI's taxonomy places the organism in Eukaryota, Metazoa, Chordata, Mammalia, Primates, Galagidae.
CGGUGUCUUACUGCUCUUUUAGAAUUUCUCUGGCAGGUUUUUCAGUUUUUUACCAGAAAAUCCCUG